UUCCGAUGGCUCAGUGGGUAAAGCAUCUGCCUCCAAUGCGGGAGACCCAGGUUCAAUCCCUGGGUUGGGAA
This 71-nucleotide transfer RNA is filed under the name Ovis aries (sheep). It matches the Rfam family "tRNA". From Rfam's summary of the family: Transfer RNA (tRNA) molecules are approximately 80 nucleotides in length. Their secondary structure includes four short double-helical elements and three loops (D, anti-codon, and T loops). Lineage: Eukaryota; Metazoa; Chordata; Mammalia; Artiodactyla; Bovidae. The record is from Rfam by way of RNAcentral.